GCAGUUUGUGUACCGUAAUAUCUGAAUUUCUUAUGAAACCGAGCGUAAGCUUCGGCAAAUCGUGCAAAGCACUGUCCUUUUAACUUGAGAUGGUAGUGUGGGGGACUACCAUGGUGAUUACGGGUAACGGGGUAUAAGGGUAUUACACCGGAGAGGAUGCCUUAGAUACGGCAACCACAUCUAAGGGAGGCAGCAGGCGCGCAAAUUACCACGUCUUAAAUCAAGGCGGUAGUGACGAAACGUAUCAAGCUAUUCUCUAUGAGAGUAUGCAUUGAAAUGGUUCAUAACCAAAACCUCUGAGGAGGAUCUAUGAGAGGGCAAGUCUGGUGCCAGCAGCCGCGGUAAUUCCAGUUCUCAAGGCGUAUGGCCGUUGUGUUGUGGUUAAAAAGCUCGUGAUUGUAUCUGUGUAAGUACCUUAGGCUUGUCCUGGGGGAAUCGCCGAAUGGCGAGAGCUACUCUGAGCAAAUCAGAGUGCUCAAAACAAGCUUUUCGCUUGAAUGUUCGUGUAUGGAAUGAUUGAAUAGGACUUUGUGUUCUUAUCAGUUGGUUUUGAAUCAAAGUAAUGGUUGAACGGGACCCGCGGGGGCAUACGUAUCGUUACGCGAGAGGUGAAA
RNAcentral lists this ribosomal RNA (614 nucleotides) under Pelodera pseudoteres. RNAcentral's name for it is "SSU rRNA". It matches the Rfam family "Eukaryotic small subunit ribosomal RNA", at positions 231 to 916 of the family's 1831-position model. The record is from RNAcentral. Lineage: Eukaryota; Metazoa; Nematoda; Chromadorea; Rhabditida; Rhabditidae.